Cinara cedri is the source of this 215-nucleotide non-coding RNA. Lineage: Eukaryota; Metazoa; Arthropoda; Insecta; Hemiptera; Aphididae. The record is from the annotation of a GenBank genome assembly.
CGUGGACGUGUUCACGGGACAAAAUAAAUAAGAGCGGAAAAAUAACCCUCAAACAGGUGCUCGUAUAUCAGCGGCUGUCGGUUGCAGGGAAAUAGAAAAACGUCCUCCGUGGGCACGUGAUGACGUUGUCCGGGUCGUCUAUCGUCUACCCUCGUCCGUUAUGGGUGUACGGGGCGAAGGUGUGUACGUUAACCGAUGCCGAGGAUAGGGGAAAC